UACAGAGGUCUCAAGCGUUGUUCGGAUUCAUUGGGCGUAAAGGGUGCGUAGGUGGCGCGGUAAGUCGGGUGUGAAAUUUCGGAGCUUAACUCCGAAACUGCAUUCGAUACUGCCGUGCUUGAGGACUGGAGAGGAGACUGGAAUUUACGGUGUAGCAGUGAAAUGCGUAGAGAUCGUAAGGAAGACCAGUGGCGAAGGCGGGUCUCUGGACAGUUCCUGACACUCAGGCACGAAGGCCAGGGGAGCAAACGGG
This 253-nucleotide ribosomal RNA is filed under the name uncultured bacterium. RNAcentral's name for it is "partial 16S ribosomal RNA". It matches the Rfam family "Bacterial small subunit ribosomal RNA", at positions 524 to 776 of the family's 1533-position model. The record is from RNAcentral.